Molecule: long non-coding RNA, 574 nt
Filed under: Ananas comosus (pineapple)
Lineage: Eukaryota; Viridiplantae; Streptophyta; Magnoliopsida; Poales; Bromeliaceae
Description: long non-coding RNA (ACOM_LNC016410)
Source: RNAcentral
CAAUUUAAUGUUUUUAUUCAAUGGUCAUGGUUAUUGGUAGGGAUGUCAAUGGGUAUGGAUACCUGAAAUUUUAUCCGAACCUGAACCCGAAUGAAAUGGAUAUAUCCGAUACUAAAUGGAUAUGGAUUUGGAUAUGGAUAGCAAAAAUAAAAACCCGACGGAUAUGGAUUCGGAUAUGGAUUUUAACUGUACUCGACCCGAACCCGAACCCGACCCAAACCCGAAUUUAUUUUGUAUUAUAUAUAUCUAUAUAUAUAUAUAUAUAAAUUUGAUGUUAUAUUUAAAUUUGUAUUUUAAAAAUUAAGAUUUAAUAUGAUAUAUUUUGAAAUAUUGAAAAAAGAAAUAAUUAUUUCGGAUUCAAAUUUUCGGGUUUGGGUUCGGGUUUGGGUUUCGGAUUUUUGGUCGGGUUUGAAUAUGGAUUUUUAAAAUACGUCGGGUUCAGAUUCGGGUUCGGGUCCCGAAUUUGGAGUUGGGUUCUUAUUCGAAUUUUUAAAAAUUCGUCCGGAAUUUGACCGGUUGACAUCUCUAAUUAUUGGCAAUAACUCACCGAAUCCAUCGUUCCGACUCAUAACAA